RNAcentral lists this ribosomal RNA (484 nucleotides) under uncultured bacterium. RNAcentral describes it as "SSU rRNA". It matches the Rfam family "Bacterial small subunit ribosomal RNA", at positions 26 to 518 of the family's 1533-position model. The record is from RNAcentral.
AGGAUGAACGCUGGCGGCGUGCCUAAUACAUGCAAGUCGAGCGGUAAGGUUCUCACUUUGUAUUUAACUCGUUUGAAUACAGUGUGAGAAUACACGAGCGGCGGACGGCUGAGUAACGCGUAGGAACGUACCCCAAACUGAGGAAUAAGCUCCGGAAACGGAGUCUAAUGCCGCAUAAUAUCUUCGGAUUAAAGCUUCGGCGGUUUGGGAGCGGCCUGCGUAAGAUUAGCUUGUUGGUGAGGUAAAAGCUCACCAAGGCGACGAUCUUUAGCUGGUCUGAGAGGAUGACCAGCCAGACUGGAACUGAGACACGGUCCAGACUCCUACGGGAGGCAGCAGUAGGGAAUUUUCCACAAUGGACGAAAGUCUGAUGGAGCAACGCCGCGUGCAGGAGGAAGGUCUUCGGAUCGUAAACUGCUUUUAUUGUGACGAUUUUGACGGUAACAAAUGAAUAAGGGUCUGCUAACUACGUGCCAGCAGCCGC